This 253-nucleotide ribosomal RNA is filed under the name uncultured bacterium. RNAcentral's name for it is "partial 16S ribosomal RNA". It matches the Rfam family "Bacterial small subunit ribosomal RNA", at positions 524 to 776 of the family's 1533-position model. The record is from RNAcentral.
GACAUAGGUUGCGAACGUUAUCCGGAAUUAUUGGGCGUAAAGAGCUUGUAGGCGGUUUGUCGCGUCUGCUGUGAAAAUCCGGGACUCAACCCCGGACUUGCAGUGGGUACGGGCAGACUGGAGUGUGGUAGGGGAGACUGGAAUUCCUGGUGUAGCGGUGGAAUGCGCAGAUAUCAGGAGGAACACCGAUGGCGAAGGCAGGUCUCUGGGCCACUACUGACGCUGAGAAGCGAAAGCAUGGGGAGCGAACAGG